Molecule: unclassified non-coding RNA, 117 nt
Organism: Pongo abelii (Sumatran orangutan)
Lineage: Eukaryota; Metazoa; Chordata; Mammalia; Primates; Hominidae
Rfam family: Metazoan signal recognition particle RNA
About the family: The signal recognition particle (SRP) is a universally conserved ribonucleoprotein. It is involved in the co-translational targeting of proteins to membranes.
Source: Ensembl
GCUGGGUGUGGUGGCUCACACCUGUAAUCCAAACGCUUUAGGAGGCUGAGGCGAGUGGAUCACCUGAGGUCAGGAGUUCGAGACCAGCCUGACCAACAAGGUGAAACCCUGUCUCUA